This is a non-coding RNA of Acanthosepion pharaonis, 110 nucleotides long. The record is from the annotation of a GenBank genome assembly. NCBI's taxonomy places the organism in Eukaryota, Metazoa, Mollusca, Cephalopoda, Sepiida, Sepiidae.
ACCAUAUUAUGUUGAAAAAGCAGAUUCCCAUACAAUCACUGAAAUUAAGCAAUGCUGAGCCUGGUCAGUACCUAGAUGGGUGACUGCUUGGGAAUAUCAGGUGCUGUAAG